GGCGGAGGAGAUACUAAGUGUUGGAGGGUUUCCGCCCUUCAGUGCUGCAGCUAACGCAUUAAGUAAUCCGCCUGGGGAGUACGACCGCAAGGUUGAAACUCAAAAGAAUUGACGGGGGCCCGCACAAGCGGUGGAGCAUGUGGUUUAAUUCGAAGCUACGCGAAGAACCUUACCAGGUCUUGACAUCUUCUGCCAACCUAAGAGAUUAGGCGUUCCCUUCGGGGACAGAAUGACAGGUGGUGCAUGGUUGUCGUCAGCUCGUGUCGUGAGAUGUUGGGUUAAGUCCCGCAACGAGCGCAACCCUUAUUACUAGUUGCCAGCAUUCAGUUGGGCACUCUAGUGAGACUGCCGGUGACAAACCGGAGGAAGGUGGGGACGACGUCAAAUCAUCAUGCCCCUUAUGACCUGGGCUACACACGUGCUACAAUGGAUGGUACAACGAGUCGCGAAACCGCGAGGUUUAGCUAAUCUCUUAAAACCAUUCUCAGUUCGGACUGUAGGCUGCAACUCGCCUACACGAAGUCGGAAUCGCUAGUAAUCGCGGAUCAGCAUGCCGCGGUGAAUACGUUCCCGGGCCUUGUACACACCGCCCGUCACACCAUGAGAGUUUGUAACACCCAAAGCCGGUGGGGUAACCUUUUAGGAGCUAGCCGUCUAAGGUGGGACAGAUGAUUAGGGUGAAGUCUAAAAGGGGGGAACCAAAAAAGUCGGGUUGGCGGGGGUCUCUGGGU
RNAcentral lists this ribosomal RNA (731 nucleotides) under Lactococcus lactis. RNAcentral's name for it is "bacterial SSU rRNA". It matches the Rfam family "Bacterial small subunit ribosomal RNA", at positions 799 to 1533 of the family's 1533-position model. The record is from RNAcentral. Lineage: Bacteria; Bacillati; Bacillota; Bacilli; Lactobacillales; Streptococcaceae.